AUGUCGCGCUUCUUUUCCUCUUUCAAUACAGACGAGUGAAGGCAAGAGUUGCACCUGUGGUUUCUUAAUCUUCUCCCGUUAAUAUUCCCUUGUUUAAGGGCGCAACAAACGUAGAUAAUGCAUCUGCAUCCAGUGGUGUUGAAGACCUUGAGGGACGCAGCCAGGAACACAUCGAGAGUAACCUCCGGUAAAGUGACCUCACGAAACCCAGCCUCUGCAAACAUCUAACUCCCUACCUGAAGCCUAAUGUGGCCCAGGGAGCAAGAAAAAGAGAUGCAAGUACUACACAUUCAAGAAACCUACCACGAAUGCAAACAUAUGCAAAUCAUAUAGACAUAAUAUCCUUCAUGUGUCCAGUACUAACUGCUUCUAUCCCCCGGUCAGAAUUACAUAGUACAUCUGCCUGUACAAUACACAUUUUGAACACUGCUGUGACGGUGAGGUGACAGACAGCCCCGUCAUCUCCCUCUUUUCCCGGUUUACUUUUCAUCCAUGAACACAUCCCGGACUUGUCUUGUGUCUUUGAUUAUCACUCACACCUGGUCCCACUCCGG
Esox lucius (northern pike) is the source of this 554-nucleotide long non-coding RNA. The record is from Ensembl. NCBI's taxonomy places the organism in Eukaryota, Metazoa, Chordata, Actinopteri, Esociformes, Esocidae.